This 329-nucleotide long non-coding RNA is filed under the name Mytilus galloprovincialis (Mediterranean mussel). Lineage: Eukaryota; Metazoa; Mollusca; Bivalvia; Mytilida; Mytilidae. The record is from RNAcentral.
GGUACAUCGAUGAAAAGUUGCAUUGACAGGUCCCGUUCCAAAUCAUAGAUAUAUUUCUGGUCAUAAUACUUUCAGUUGUGAGGUAUGUAACCCUUUUAAAAGCUAUCAAAUGAAAUUAAGAAGAAGUGGAAGCUCAUGUUUUCUUAUAAAUGAGCCUGGCCAGCACUUCUUCUUCUUCUUUCUUUACACAUCUUUUCAUACCACCGGGAUAAUGGGAAGGGGGAUAUUUAAAACUGCUGCGUGCAGGGGAAGUGCUGUCCAAAUUUUUUAGGGGUCCUCAAAGGUAGGACAAGAAUCUGGUUUUAAAUGUAAAUAGCACCAUAAUUUUC